GCUCUGUCUGCAGGUGUCUGAAGGCCAGGAUGGUCUCCCCAUGGCAGCUCCUCUGGCUGCUGGUGCUCUGGGCUCAGGAUUCCCGAGGAGCCAUUGUGCUGAUCCAGGCUCCAGCCUCCUUGUCUGGGUCUCCAGGAGAGAGAGUCACCCUCAGCUGCAAGGCCAGUGAAGGUGUAACAUCUUAUGGUGCUACCUGGUUAAACUGGUACCAAGAGAAACCUGGUCAAGCCCCAAGACUCCUCAUCUACAGGGCUACCAGCCUGGCAUCUGGAGUCCCUGCCCGCUUCAGUGGCAGUGGGUCUGGGACAGAUUUCACUCUCACCAUCAGCAGCUUGGAGCCUGAGGAUGCUGGAAAUUAUUACUGUCAGCAGAAUUGGACGGUGCCCCUAGGGACUCACAUCCUUGCUAUCUCUGUUUCUGAUCACACAUGUUCCUCAUUAGAAAAAGUCACCAUCAGCUGCAAAACCAGUCAGGGUAUUGCCUAUAAUUUAGCCUGGUACCAUCAGCCACCUGGACAGUCUCCCACACUCCUGAUCUAUAGUGCUUCAACUCUGCCCUUUGGGGUCCCUGCUCCCUUCAGUGACAGUGGGUCUGGGACAGACUACACUCUUACUAUCUGCAGUGUGGAGGCUAAGGAUGUUGGACAUUACUACUGUCGGCAAUAUUAUGAGGACCCUAACCUACAGUGA
Non-coding RNA from Dromiciops gliroides (monito del monte), 689 nucleotides. NCBI's taxonomy places the organism in Eukaryota, Metazoa, Chordata, Mammalia, Microbiotheria, Microbiotheriidae. The record is from the annotation of a RefSeq genome assembly.